Molecule: non-coding RNA, 616 nt
Organism: Tetranychus urticae (two-spotted spider mite)
Lineage: Eukaryota; Metazoa; Arthropoda; Arachnida; Trombidiformes; Tetranychidae
Source: RefSeq, a predicted model, not a curated record
UUUUCUUGGACUACGAUCGAUUUUUUGUUGAUGAAACCCUAAAACACGAAUCUUUGCAUGAUUUAGUCAUAACAUUUUAUGGACAAUACUAUACAGAUAGUAUCAACUGGGAUGAUUUUAAAAUAUUGUUCAUGAAAUAUCCAAAUCUUAAACAUCUUGCACUGAGGAAAUGCAAUAGCCUGGAAAAUGAAGCCGUGCUGCAAUUGAUUAACAUUUUACCCAAUUUGAUAUUAUUUGAUGGUCGUGGUUGUCCAAAAGUCACUCAGGAGGCUGCUAAUUAUGUUCAAGAUUAUAAUAGACUACAUGGACGAUAUAUCAAGUUUUAUUUUGAUGGUAAUUACCAUGAAAUUGAAUCAGAUUGGCCUCAUUUAUCCACUGAAUAUAAAAUAAUAGGUCAAGGUUUUGAUUUCAUGAAACAUUGCUUCCUUGUGAGCUCUCCUACUUUCUUAAUCCCUAGUGAGCACUGAAUCACCUUUGAGUAUAAUUUGCUGUUGGUAUCUUCAACACACAAUAUGCAUUCAUAAUAUUAUUCAUUUUGAAAAAAUGACCGAUUCUUACAAUUUCAAUCGAACAAAUCUGAAUUUUAAUUUUCAAUAAAAUUUUUUUUAAAAUCUAA